UGCGUAGGCGGUCCCGCAAGUCCGCUGUGAAAGCCCCGGGCUUAACCUGGGAAUGGCAGUGGAAACUAGGGGACUUGAAUCCGGCAGAGGGGGGUGGAAUGCCACGUGUAGCAGUGAAAUGCGUAGAGAUGUGGCGGAACACCGAUGGCGAAGGCAGCCCCCUGGGUUGAGAUUGACGCUCAGGCACGAAAGCGUGGGGAGCAAACAGGAUUAGAUACCCUGGUAGUCCACGCCCUAAACGAUGAUCACUAGGUGUUGGGGAAGCGAUUUCUCAGUACCGCAGCUAACGCGUGAAGUGAUCCGCCUGGGGAGUACGGUCGCAAGAUUAAAA
This 331-nucleotide ribosomal RNA is filed under the name uncultured bacterium. RNAcentral's name for it is "bacterial SSU rRNA". It matches the Rfam family "Bacterial small subunit ribosomal RNA", at positions 568 to 899 of the family's 1533-position model. The record is from RNAcentral.